GAGACUCUAAUGAGACUGCCAGUGAUAAACUGGAGGAAGGUGGGGAUGACGUCAAAUCAUCAUGCCCCUUAUGACCUGGGCUACACACGUGCUACAAUGGCCGGUACAAAGAGUUGCGAAACUGUGAAGUUAAGCUAAUCUCAUAAAGCCGGUCUCAGUUCGGAUUGUAGUCUGCAACUCGACUACAUGAAGUCGGAAUCGCUAGUAAUCGCGAAUCAGAAUGUCGCGGUGAAUACGUUCUCGAGUCUU
RNAcentral lists this ribosomal RNA (249 nucleotides) under uncultured Syntrophus sp. RNAcentral's name for it is "partial 16S ribosomal RNA". It matches the Rfam family "Bacterial small subunit ribosomal RNA", at positions 1134 to 1382 of the family's 1533-position model. Lineage: Bacteria; Pseudomonadati; Thermodesulfobacteriota; Syntrophia; Syntrophales; Syntrophaceae. The record is from RNAcentral.